CGUACCUGCGUGUAGCAGGCUCCUGCCUCCAGUGCAGCGGAGACGUGCUCCUUGGGGGGGGGGGAAGGCAGAAAGGGAGGAGAGAGCACCCUGCGACAAAGAAACAAAACACACGUGUUAAUUUCCAAACAUCGUGGCUUUUUUUCCUCCCACGAUUUCCCCUCCUGAUGGCUGGUGCGCGCGUGGGCAGCUGACGCAGCCCCGGGACCGUGCACCGGGAGCGGCUGAGGCCACACAGCCGCCGAAAUGAGCGAGCCUCGUUGUGCUCAGCAGCUGAGCUCUGCUGCCUGCUCUGCGGCUGCGGUUCCCUCAGCGAAGGCUUUGAGGUUCUCCGACUCGUGUUAGGCGAUGCAUUCCUGCACCAUUCGCAUCGAAUGGGGAGGCUUGACGCGGAAAAAAAGCAAAAAAAAAAAAAACACCAAACAAUAAACUUCAAACCUUUGCAGCCCUUCCUCCCCUCAGCGCUCCCCUUCCUUCCCCUCGCCGGUCCCUCACGGACCGCGCUCUCCGCGCCCACCCCGCCGCUUUCUCCACAGCCUAAACUGAAACAAAACGCAAAGCCCUCGAAGCCGGGACCAGCAAGGAGGGCUCAGCACCCGUCCCUGCGGGGCUCGGAGCCCGAUGGUGCCCGGCAGGACGGCGAGGGGCCGAGCCGCCGCCUCAUGGCGGUUGGCGAAGCCGCCCUCAGGGCGCAGGCACCGGGAGGGGGGCGUUUGAGCGGCUGUUGGCGGCGGCUCCUCGGUAGGCCUUGCGGGGUUGGAGCUGCCCAAAAACACAAGCUAGCCCUAGGUUGUUAGGUUUACUUGAUAGAAAUUUCUGUAAAUUGUAUUUUAUAUGACAAAAUAUAUCACUGUACAUUAAAAUAUGGGACUUCACAGGUUUUUGUUACUAUAAGUAGAAUAAACAUCUACAGUGAAACGUUGUCCAUUUCUUAAA
Molecule: non-coding RNA, 936 nt
Organism: Anas platyrhynchos (mallard)
Lineage: Eukaryota; Metazoa; Chordata; Aves; Anseriformes; Anatidae
Source: RefSeq, a predicted model, not a curated record